RNAcentral lists this long non-coding RNA (890 nucleotides) under Salmo salar (Atlantic salmon). RNAcentral describes it as "lncRNA (ENSSSAG00000120761.1)". Lineage: Eukaryota; Metazoa; Chordata; Actinopteri; Salmoniformes; Salmonidae. The record is from RNAcentral.
GUGGAUCUGUCUCUGAUUGGAGACGACAGUGGAUCUGUCUCUGAUUGGAGACGACAGUGGGUAGUGGGUAGUGUCCCGUUGGGUUCCGGUCAGAGGUAGUGUCCCCGUUGGGUUCUGGUCAGAGGUAGUGUCCCGUUGGGUUCUGGUCAGAGGUAGUGUCCCGUUGGGUUCUGGUCAGAGGUAGUGUCCCGUUGGGUUCUGGUCAGAGGUAGUGUCCCCGUUGGGUUCUGGUCAGAGGUAGUGUCCCCGUUGGGUUCUGGUCAGAGAUAGUGUCCCGGUCAGAGGUAGUGUCCCGUUGGGUUCUGGUCAGAGGUAGUGUCCCGUUGGGCUCUGGUCAGAGGUAGUGUCCCCGUCGGGUUCUGGUCAGAGGUAGUGUCCCGUUGGGUUCUGGUCAGAGGUAGUGUCCCCGUUGGGCUCUGGUCAGAGGUAGUGUCCCCGUCGGGUUCUGGUCAGAGGUAGUGUCCCCGUUGGGUUCUGGUCAGAGGUAGUGUCCCCGUCGGGUGUAGUGCGUCAUUAGAGACGGGGAGUUACGUCACUCUGACAGCGAACUGAGACACUGCAGCACGUCAACACUGUUCUCUUUUGAUGUGAGAUCAGGAAACCAUGAAAAAGGAAAACAUUAUUUCAUCGUUUAGGGAAAGAAAGGGGAAUUCCCCCUGACUGACUUUCUCUCUCUCUCUUUCUCUUUCUUUGUCUCUCUGUCUCUGCCUCUCUCUCUCCCUCUUCCUCUCGGUGUCUCUCUCUCUCUCUCUCUCUCUCUCUCUCUCUCUCUCUCUCUCUCUCUCUCUCUCUCUCUCUCUCUCUCUCUCUCUCUCUCUGCCUCUCUCUCUCCCUCUUCCUCUCGGUGUCUCUCUCUCUCUCUCUCUCUCUCUCUCUCUGCCUCUCUCUCU